GCCAAAGUAGUGGAAUAGGUAAACACGUUGUCUUUAGGCGGCAAAAUAUAGGGGUUCAAGUCCCCUCUUUGGCA
Molecule: transfer RNA, 74 nt
Filed under: Eukaryota sp. BB2
Lineage: Eukaryota
Description: tRNA-Leu
Rfam family: tRNA
About the family: Transfer RNA (tRNA) molecules are approximately 80 nucleotides in length.
Source: RNAcentral